UACGGGGGGGGCAAGCGUUGUUCGGAAUUACUGGGCGUAAAGGGCUCGUAGGCGGCCAACUAAGUCAGACGUGAAAUCCCUCGGCUUAACCGGGGAACUGCGUCUGAUACUGGAUGGUUUGAAUCCGGGAGAGGGAUGCGGAAUUCCAGGUGUAGCGGUGAAAUGCGUAGAUAUCUGGAGGAACACCGGUGGCGAAGGCGGCAUCCUGGACCGGCAUUGACGCUGAGGAGCGAAAGCCAGGGGAGCAAACGGG
RNAcentral lists this ribosomal RNA (253 nucleotides) under uncultured bacterium. RNAcentral's name for it is "partial 16S ribosomal RNA". It matches the Rfam family "Bacterial small subunit ribosomal RNA", at positions 524 to 776 of the family's 1533-position model. The record is from RNAcentral.